UACGUAGGGGGCAAGCGUUGUCCGGAUUUAUUGGGCGUAAAGAGCGUGUAGGCGGUCAGGUAGGUCCGUUGUGAAAACUCGAGGCUCAACCUCGAGACGCCGAUGGAAACCAUCUGACUAGAGUCCGGAAGAGGAGAGUGGAAUUCCUGGUGUAGCGGUGAAAUGCGCAGAUAUCAGGAAGAACACCCGUGGCUAAGGCGGCUUCCUGGCCUGUAACUGACGCUGAGACGCGAAAGCGUGGGGAGCGAACCGG
RNAcentral lists this ribosomal RNA (253 nucleotides) under uncultured bacterium. RNAcentral's name for it is "partial 16S ribosomal RNA". It matches the Rfam family "Bacterial small subunit ribosomal RNA", at positions 524 to 776 of the family's 1533-position model. The record is from RNAcentral.